RNAcentral lists this long non-coding RNA (1630 nucleotides) under Jatropha curcas. RNAcentral's name for it is "long non-coding RNA (JCUR_LNC001012)". Lineage: Eukaryota; Viridiplantae; Streptophyta; Magnoliopsida; Malpighiales; Euphorbiaceae. The record is from RNAcentral.
UAUUUUGCAAAAAAAACACUCUGAGAAUUGUCGAUAAGAAAGCGUUGGAAAUACCAAACUGAAAAUGCGUCACUUGUUUCUUCUUUCAGUAGACAAUGGCGUUCUCGAGUACCUUCUCCGUUACUCCGGCAUUUCUCUGCGACAACAUUCGCUGGUUCCCUCAUCCCAGUCAUAUGCAUCAGGCAGUAAAUGCUCGUACGAGGCUCAGACCCAUCAGUGCCAAGCUCGCAGAGAAGGCCGCGUUGCGGUACAAGAAACUUGGGGAUUCUGAUCUUGAAGUGAGCGAAAUUACUCUUGGAACUGUAAGAAUUUCUUUUGGUAAUUUUUUUUCUAAUAUAGCAUAUACAAUGUCCCUAUUGUUCGAUGACAAUAAUUGGCUUUCUCUAUAUUUGUCGAAUUGAAUUGAGCAAUGUAUGUUUGUUGUGAAUUAUCAAUUCUAUUGUCAUAAAUUCACUACUUCCAGUUUCUAUUCUACUUGGUGGGUUUUAUGAAUGCUUGAAUUUCCAGUAUUUGGUCCUUGGUGGGUUUUAUGUAAUGCUUAAAUUUCCAUUAUUUGGUCCUUUAGCUUUGUUUGGUCAAAUGUGGGUUUUCCGCCAUUACUGAUAUAGUUUAGUUUUAUGUUUGAUAUGGUAUGCCAGUAAUUGUCUUGGUAAUCUUUAACCUUAAAGUGGACUACAAAUCUUGUUAGGAAUAGCUGGGAUUCUUAUAUAUAUAACUGAAAUAUGUAAGCAGCUAACGUCUGUUAAGACGCCGAGUGAUUUCAAGGGACACAUCGAUGACUGGAAAAUGAAUGUGGAUUUGGAAUUGGUCAUGGGAACACUUAACUUCAAGAGCGAAAAUAGUACAGAAAUCUGAAAUUAUCUAUGUGUAUAUAUAUUUUUGCAACUAAUUUCCUUCAAUUUUUAAUUUCGUUUCCCCAACACUUGUCUCUUUGUUUUACGCAUGUGUUCUUGUAAGACAACUUCUAUAACUCCCUGCCUUCUUGCUGUUAGUAUCUCAUAAUUAAUUACCAAAUUUGUUUCUCAAUAUGGCUUGUCUAAGGCAUCUUAUGUUAUGAAAAGCAAAGUUUUGCUUCUGUACAGCCAAGUAUAAGAUCUUUUAAGUUUAUGUAACUUUUUGUAUUAUUUCAGAUGACUUUUGGUCAACAGAACACAGAGAAAGAAGCUCAUGAAAUUCUUAGCUAUUCAUUUGAUCAUGGCAUCAAUAUUCUUGACACUGCAGAAGCUGUGAGUUUGUUUCUUUUUUUUUUUUUUUUUUAAAAUCCAUUUAUUUCUGUUUGCAUUCAUAGAUCAAAUGGAAAACGGUUCAUUAACAACUGAUAUAUGACGCCAAAGUGGCAAAAAUUGCAAACGUAAAAGAUAGUAGUACCUUAUUUUGCAAAAAAAACACUCUGAGAAUUGUCGAUAAGAAAGCGUUGGAAAUACCAAACUGAAAAUGCGUCACUUGUUUCUUCUUUCAGUAGACAAUGGCGUUCUCGAGUACCUUCUCCGUUACUCCGGCAUUUCUCUGCGACAACAUUCGCUGGUUCCCUCAUCCCAGUCAUAUGCAUCAGGCAGUAAAUGCUCGUACGAGGCUCAGACCCAUCAGUGCCAAGCUCGCAGAGAAGGCCGCGUUGCGGUACAAGAAACUU